UGGGAGAGGAAAUGGGAGGGUUAAGCCUGUCCUUAGUAACUGAACAGAGAAAGAGAUUCCCAGUCAGGCUGGCAGUGGACAGCAGAGGGCCCAAAAGCUUGGCUCAGAAAACCUCAGACUUGGAGUGUGUAGAUGGGAGGGGAUGGUCACAAAGUGACUCCUGGGCUCUGAGCCCUCUCUAGGGAGGCUUGCUGACAGAGCAGGGGAAGAUCUAUCAAGAGAUGCCUUGGUGGUCAAGAGCAACUUAGGAUUACCUCAAUUUAUCCAGUGCUUUUCGAGUUGGUGUAUGAAGUGAAUGGUCCAACACCAUGAACAGGGCAUGAUGACAACAUUGCUAAGGCCCAGCUGAAGGCUUCUGGAAAGGUGUUUCCAUAGCUUUAUGUAAACAGCAAGGAAUUAGCCAAAGUCUGGUCAGGUGAGCAGGAAACAGAGGGCGGGCCUCGGCCAUCUGCAGUGGGGCAGCACAUUGGGAGUAUCACUGUAUCGCAAAUGAGUUAGUAAGCCACCUGUUCAUGUCCAAACUGUGCUUCCAGUCUGAAAUAAAAUCAAAUUGGAUAUUA
Molecule: long non-coding RNA, 560 nt
Filed under: Rattus norvegicus (Norway rat)
Lineage: Eukaryota; Metazoa; Chordata; Mammalia; Rodentia; Muridae
Description: long non-coding RNA NONRATT018131
Source: RNAcentral